GCGGUGGAGCAUGUGGUUAAUUCGAAGCAACGCGAAGAACCUUACCAGUCUUGACAUCCCGAUGCUAUUUCUAGAGAUAGAAAGUUACUUCGGUACAUCGGUGACAGGUGGUGCAUGGUGUCGUCAGCUCGUGUCGUGAGAUGUUGGGUUAAGUCCCGCAACGAGCGCAACCCCUAUUGUUAGUUGCCAUCAUUCAGUUGGGCACUCUAGCGAGACUGCCGGUAAUAAACCGGAGGAAGGUGGGGAUGACGUCAAAUCAUCAUGCCCCUUAUGACCUGGGCUACACACGUGCUACAAUGGUUGGUACAACGAGUUGCGAGUCGGUGACGGCGAGCUAAUCUCUUAAAGCCAAUCUCAGUUCGGGUUGUAGGCUGCAACUCGCCUACAUGAAGUCGGAAUCGCUAGUAAUCGCGGAUCAGCACGCCGCGGUCGAAUACGUUCCCGGGCCUU
Molecule: ribosomal RNA, 450 nt
Filed under: uncultured Streptococcus sp.
Lineage: Bacteria; Bacillati; Bacillota; Bacilli; Lactobacillales; Streptococcaceae
Description: bacterial SSU rRNA
Rfam family: Bacterial small subunit ribosomal RNA
Source: RNAcentral